GGGGGUGUACCGGAUUCGACUUAUAACGUUAAGGGGUUGUAAGCAUACCGGAGGCUCGGCUCCGUAAAAACGGGACUUAAAAAUUAACUGACGAACAAAAUCUUCAGUACGCUGCCGCUUAAUUGGUAGCCGUCGGACCUACUUCCUGCGGGUAGCAAUCCGGCGUGGUUUAGCAGGGAACCGAGUACGGCAUCGCACCGCGCCGUAAACGGAACUUAGGUGCUUGGUUGAAGUGGGGUUUGCCUAUUGACCUAACGGAUACGACAAUCAACAACAGGCUAAGUAUGUAGAAAGCGAUUCGGUAACCUAUAAGAACAGGGGUUCGACUCCCCUCACCUCCACCA
This 344-nucleotide transfer-messenger RNA is filed under the name Clostridia bacterium. It matches the Rfam family "transfer-messenger RNA". Rfam says of the family: Bacterial tmRNA, also known as 10Sa RNA or SsrA, is named for its dual tRNA and mRNA-like properties. Its role is to liberate the mRNA from a stalled ribosome. To accomplish this part of the tmRNA is used as a reading frame that ends in a translation stop signal. The record is from RNAcentral. Lineage: Bacteria; Bacillati; Bacillota; Clostridia.